UGUCGGUCCCCUCGCGACGGUCAUCCGUAAACCCCGCCAGGCCCGGAAGGGAGCAACGGUAGCGGUGCCACCGGGUGUUGAGGUGUGGCGGGUGCGG
RNAcentral lists this signal recognition particle RNA (97 nucleotides) under Gammaproteobacteria bacterium. RNAcentral's name for it is "signal recognition particle sRNA small type". It matches the Rfam family "Bacterial small signal recognition particle RNA". From Rfam's summary of the family: The signal recognition particle (SRP) is a universally conserved ribonucleoprotein involved in the co-translational targeting of proteins to membranes. Archaeal SRP consists of a 7S RNA and homologues of the eukaryotic SRP19 and SRP54 proteins. Lineage: Bacteria; Pseudomonadati; Pseudomonadota; Gammaproteobacteria. The record is from RNAcentral.